RNAcentral lists this ribosomal RNA (876 nucleotides) under Gastrocotyle kurra. RNAcentral's name for it is "eukaryotic LSU rRNA". It matches the Rfam family "Eukaryotic large subunit ribosomal RNA", at positions 49 to 614 of the family's 3401-position model. The record is from RNAcentral. Lineage: Eukaryota; Metazoa; Platyhelminthes; Monogenea; Mazocraeidea; Gastrocotylidae.
AAUGGAAGAAAGAACUACCUGGAUUCCCCUAGUAACGGCGAGUGAACAGGGAUUAGCCCAGCACCGAAGCCUUCGGCCAUUUGGUCGUUCGGCAAUGUGGUGUUUAGGUUUGCGCUUUUGCGGAUUGCUUCGUUCCAAGUCCAAACUUGAAUAUGGCUUAUGAAUGGCCCAGAGAGGGUGAAAGGCCCGUAUGGACGGAGUAGUCUGUGACUGUGUAGACCGUGGAGUCGGGUUGUUUGAGAAUGCAGCCCAAAGUUGGUGGUAAACUCCAUCUAAGGCUAAAUACUGGCACGAGUCCGAUAGCGAACAAGUACCGUGAGGGAAAGUUGAAAAGUACUCUGAAGAGAGAGUAAACAGUGCGUGAAACCGCACAGAGGCAAACGGGUGUAGUCAAGCUUCGAGUUGUGGCAAAUAGGCGGACCAGAAUGGCGUGAGCUUGAGCACAUAUGAGCUGGUUGCAGGUGCGUCGCUAGGCGUAUUCGGCCCGCAAGGGUUGGAUGUGUGGAGUGUCAUACGAUGCCGCAUGCCUGUAAUUAGUGUGUUCUGCUGGUUCGAUUACUUUGUCAUAGCGUAUGUCACGACCGUCGCAGCUGUUGGUCUGCUUCGUCUAAACCGUAGCGUGAGUUGCCUUGUGUAUCUUUGCGUUGCGGGGGCAGGUAGCUAGCUUUGGUUUCGGCCGGGUUAGUGUAAUCGCCGGGCGGAGUGGUAUCUAUGCAGUACGGCGGGGAUGGCGGUGCGUGGUCCUGGGCGUGCUAAAGUAUGUUGGCAUGGCUUGAGUCCGAUUCCAUGUUGCUAUCAAAGAUGGCCUUGGGGUGGCUCUGCCGUGGUUGAUGUGCGGCAGCGGCCGGGGCACCUUCGCGUUGAGCCUAUAGUCUG